AGUGAACGCUGGCGGCGUGCUUAACACAUGCAAGUCGAACGAGAACGGAAUAUAGCUUGCUAUAUUUGUCAGCUAAGUGGCGCACGGGUGAGUAAUGUAUAGAUAACCUGCCCUUAAGAAAGGAAUAACAGUUGGAAACGACUGCUAAUGCCCUAUAUGCCUUUAAUACAUAAGUAUGCAAGGGAAACGCUUUAGUGCUUAAGGAUGGGUCUGUAUGGUAUCAGCUUGUUGGUGAGGUAAUGGCUCACCAAGGCUAUGACGCCUAACUGGUUUGAGAGGAUGAUCAGUCACACUGGAACUGAGACACGGUCCAGACUCCUACUGGAGGCAGCAGUGGAGAAUAUUGCACAAUGGACGAAAGUCUGAUGCAGCAACGCCGCGUGGAGGAUGACACAUUUCGGUGCGUAAACUCCUUUUAUAUAGGAAGAUAAUGACGGUACUAUAUGAAUAAGCACCGGCUAACUCCGUGCCAGCCGCCGCAGUAA
This 485-nucleotide ribosomal RNA is filed under the name uncultured bacterium. RNAcentral describes it as "partial 16S ribosomal RNA". It matches the Rfam family "Bacterial small subunit ribosomal RNA", at positions 29 to 523 of the family's 1533-position model. The record is from RNAcentral.